RNAcentral lists this small RNA (132 nucleotides) under Escherichia coli. RNAcentral describes it as "RtT sRNA". It matches the Rfam family "RtT RNA". Rfam says of the family: This family represents a bacterial cis-regulatory element known as RtT RNA. The exact function of RtT is unknown although it is thought that it may be involved in changing the cellular response in relation to amino acid starvation. Lineage: Bacteria; Pseudomonadati; Pseudomonadota; Gammaproteobacteria; Enterobacterales; Enterobacteriaceae. RNAcentral also lists the same sequence under 32 other names. The record is from RNAcentral.
UAUUCUGCCCCACGGGGAAGGAUGAGAAGCUUCGACUAAGGUUCGACUCGAGCGAAGCGAGAGAACGUUGCCGCAGGCAACGGCCCGAAGGGCGAGGCGCUUUAGCGCCGAGUAAUCCUUCCCCCACCACCA